This 194-nucleotide unclassified non-coding RNA is filed under the name plant metagenome. RNAcentral describes it as "partial contains small subunit ribosomal RNA and internal transcribed spacer 1". The stretch from base 1 to 46 matches the Rfam family "Eukaryotic small subunit ribosomal RNA", at positions 1786 to 1831 of the family's 1831-position model. The record is from RNAcentral.
AAGUCAUAACAAGGUUUCUGUAGGUGAACCUGCAGAAGGAUCAUUAUUGAAUUGUUAAAUGGGGAAUCUUUCGAGAUUCCUCUACAUUCUUUAUUCCCAACACCUGUCGAUCGUUGCAUGUAGUCGCUUCAGUAGCAACAUUUUUUAUACACACGUAAUAGUUUAGAACGUAAAAAUAUAUAAUAAAAAUACAA